AGUGAACGCUGGCGGUGGGCCUAACACAUGCAAGUCGAACGGCAGCACAGUAAGAGCUUGCUCUUACGGGUGGCGAGUGGCGGACGGGUGAGGAAUACAUCAGAAUCUACUUUUUCGUGGGGGAUAACGUAGGGAAACUUACGCUAAUACCGCAUACGACCUACGGGUGAAAGCAGGGGAUCUUCGGACCUCGCGCGAUUGAAUGAGCCGAUGUCGGAUUAGCUAGUUGGCGGGGUAAAGGCCCACCAAGGCGACGAUCCGUAGCUGGUCUGAGAGGAUGAUCAGCCACACUGGAACUGAGACACGGUCCAGACUCCUACGGGAGGCAGCAGUGGGGAAUAUUGGACAAUGGGCGCAAGCCUGAUCCAGCCAUACCGCGUGGGUGAAGAAGGCCUUCGGGUUGUAAAGCCCUUUUGUUGGGAAAGAAAAGCAGCAGGUUAAUACCCCGCUGUUCUGACGGUACCCAAAGAAUAAGCACCGGCUAACUUCGUG
This 492-nucleotide ribosomal RNA is filed under the name uncultured bacterium. Its description in RNAcentral is "partial 16S ribosomal RNA". It matches the Rfam family "Bacterial small subunit ribosomal RNA", at positions 29 to 507 of the family's 1533-position model. The record is from RNAcentral.